This 227-nucleotide ribosomal RNA is filed under the name uncultured bacterium. RNAcentral describes it as "partial 16S ribosomal RNA". It matches the Rfam family "Bacterial small subunit ribosomal RNA", at positions 109 to 334 of the family's 1533-position model. The record is from RNAcentral.
CGGAACACGUACGCAACCUUCCCAUAACUGGUGAAUAGCCUUUCGAAAGAGAGAUUAAUACACCGUAACAUAACGAAGAGGCAUCUCUUUGUUAUUAUAGUAGCAAUACGGUUUUGGAUGGGCGUGCGCCUGAUUAGGUAGUUGGCGGGGUAACGGCCCACCAAGCCUGCGAUCAGUAACUGGUGUGAGAGCACGACCAGUCACACGGGCACUGAGACACGGGCCCG